AAAAAGCUCGUAGUUGGAUUUCUGCUGAUCGCUGUCGGUCUGCCGUCAGGUGUGUACUGGCAGUGUUUGGCAUCUAUUCGAGAUUAGGUGUCCACUUGAUUGUGUGCACUUGAUGUCGGAGCUAAUACUUUGAGAAAAUUAGAGUGUUCCACGCAGGCGCGUGCCUUGAAUACUGCAGCAUGGGAUAUUGGAAGGCCGAUUGAGCUUUCUUGUUGGUUCUCGGUUUGAUCGGAAUGAUUAAUAGGGAUAGUUGGGGGCAUUCGUAUUCAACUGUCAGA
RNAcentral lists this ribosomal RNA (278 nucleotides) under Chaetoceros dichaeta. RNAcentral describes it as "partial Eukaryotic small subunit ribosomal RNA". It matches the Rfam family "Eukaryotic small subunit ribosomal RNA", at positions 621 to 909 of the family's 1831-position model. The record is from RNAcentral. Lineage: Eukaryota; Bacillariophyta; Thalassiosirophyceae; Chaetocerotales; Chaetocerotaceae.